AAUAAUAUUAUUUUGAUAGUUGUGAAACACACGCGCCCUCAAUUGUGCGAACGUAAAGGCGAAAACCUAAAACUCGGAGACUGAAAUUCGACGCUUCCACCGGUGUUAGUCGUCGCCGGUGGGUCUUGCCAUCUCGUGGUGACCUGUCUAUCUCUCUCUCCUUCCUCAGUCAUGGAUCCGUUGGAUCGUUUUUCAGCUCCACAGUUGUCUCCUCCCUUUAAGAAUCCGUCUCUCACUUCGGAAGUAGUUACAGUUCCUCUCUCUACGUCGUCUCCGUCAACUCUUCUCUCUUCAUCGUCGGAAUUAGCCGUGAGUUCUCCGUCUACGAUUCUGGAAGGUCCCAAUGGUACGGUUCCUUGCGAUUCUAAUUGUGUCAACGGUUUGGGUCCUCGCGGAAGUGAUGUAGUGACCUGUGACACUCAAUCCCUUCCUGAUACUGGUGUUAUCGCCUCUGUUUCUCUCGACUCUGAUGUAAGUGCAGCAAUGGAAAAUGAUUCUACGGUCUUCACUAAUGUUAUUGCUCCUCCGGAUCCUGUGAGUUUUGUUCCAUCCUUGGGUUCAUGGGCUAAACCACUUUUCUUCAAGCCCCCUGCUACCCCACCAGAACCAAGCACUCCGUCUGGCUACGACCCUGCUAUUGUUGGGAACCAGUUAGCGGCUAUGUGGCCAUCGCUUAAUGACAAGAUUUUGAACAAGCCAUUGAAGGGCAGGCAACAAUCCCGUUCUCUGCAGCCUCCGAUAGAGAAGCUACCACCUCCUGAACUCAAAGCUGAUGGAACCCUGAGAUUUCCGUGGGCUGCAAGAUUAAAUUCUCAAUCGCGUAAUCUCUAUCGGGCAGCUACACCAACUUACAGGCUUGAUGGAACACCAGAGGUAUCUAUUCCUUCUAAAGUGCUUAGGCUAGGACCUGAGAAUAAGGAUGAAUAUAUCAUAGGAAAGUUUCAUAGGUGUUCUUUACCUCCAGGCGGGCUUAUACAUGCUGUAGUAAACAAGAUUUGGGGCAGGAGUUGUAAGAUUACUUGUAAGAAGGUUGGGGAUUCUUCUUAUAUGUUCCAUAUCCCUCAUCAGCCCACUCGUCAAUGGAUCAUUCAAAGAGGAGUUUGGCAUAUUGAUGAUUGCUUACUUUUUGUACUUCCGUGGAUUCCAGAGGGUUCUUUCAAAGUUCCAGAAAUCUAUACUCUUCCUGUUUGGGUCAUUCUGAAAAACAUACCCGACUGCUGUUACUCUAGAUUAGGAAUAAGCCAUGUCGCCUCUGGUCUUGGAGAACCUAUUCUAACCCAUAAGCCUCGUCUAGAUUUUACAAGUAUGGGAGAAGCUAAAGUCUUAGUAGAAAUGGAGUUGGAUAAAGCUUUUCCGAAGCUUAUUGCCCUUGAUGAUAAACAGGGUAGCAUUUUCCUGGUUAAUGUGGAAUAUACGUGGAUUCCAUCAACUUGUGAAAGAUGUGGAAACUUAGGCCAUAAAGCGAAGAGGUGUCUUCUUCCUUCGAAGCCUCUACAUGAUACAAACUUGCAGCAAAAAGAAAAGGAUGAAAUUAAUGGUGAAGUUCCUGUUGUGGAUAUUGAUCUCAUCAUGCAGCAAAGAGAAAAUGAUACUUCCUCUUCAGAAGCCCCCUCUCAUAACAACCCACUGAUUAAUGGUACUGCCUCGACUGCUGUCUCAGUACAUGAUAUCCCUUUAGUGAAAGAGUCUGAAGUCCCUUCAGUAGUUGCAGCUGCUGAAAAAAGCCAAUCCUUGCAAACUGAUCUGGUGGUAAUUCCUCCUCUCUUUACAUUUUCUUCUGAUGUUUCUAUGGAUUGCCAAGGUACACCAGAUAUAAAUUACAAAACUCACUCACCUUCUUUGCGACUUCAACCGGAGAUCCAAACUAUUUUGCCAAACUUUUCCACUACUUUAUCCCCAUUAGUAGAUUCUCAGUCUACUCCUAUUACUGCAACUAUUAUGGAUUCAUUUCCAUCAAAUAUUAUCAACAAGGAAGUACAAAAUCCAUCCAUUGUUGAUCCUUUAACCACAUCACUUCAAGUUAGUGAAUUUGAGAGUCCUUCUCGUUUCACUGUGUUAGAAGCGUUGGAUGAAGUUGAAUUGGAGCAUAGGAGCUCUUUCAGCUUGACAAGGGGUGGGAGAGAGACAAGACCUCCUAUCAAAUUUCAAGACUUAGAAUGAAAAACAGUAAAAGGGAGAGGGGCGGUUAACAGAAGGAGGCGGCUGAUCAGCCGGAUAUGUUUAAUAAUUGUCGGUUUUGAGAAAAAGAGGGAUGGGGGAAUAACCAUAUUAUUAUGAAACAAUUUCAAUGAUGUAUUCGAUAUUAGACGAAAGUGUCGAGGAAAUUAAGAUCAGAUGUUGAAGUGAGUUGCGUUGAAGUGUUCUGUGUGCUUACUAGAUAGGAAGACUUAUCAAAUGGCAACUUGGCAAGAAGCUAUGUUUUACCUCUACCUCGGGCAUGUGUUUGUUUGCCUUCAUCAGUCCAGGGAUAAUGUUACUAAUUUUCAAGAGAGCUACAAGUCAUGUUCCCUUGAGGAUUAUAUCAAACAAAGAUGGCACGAUUCUCAAGUUUUUCAAUCACGUGUUUCACCUCAACACGAAAGUUGAUUUCAUUGAGAAAUUCACGAGUGUUUCGCCUCUCAAGAGAGCUACAAGUCAUGUUCCCUACAAGUCAUUGAUUUCAAUCACGAGUGUUUCGCCUCUCAAACACUCGUUUUUCACAUAUGGAAGCAAAGAAACAACCUCAUCCACAAUGCUGUCUCUCUGCCUCCUACUCAUGUCUUUAGGACCAUUGACAGAGAAUUAAGAAACAUCUUUUCUGCCAGAAGGUCUUACAAGCACUUCACCUCGCUUAUGGUUCUUUGGUUCCAAUAGGCGGUUAAGAUUUCCACUUGUUUAGGAAGUUAAUGAUCCAUCUUGUUUUUUCUUUCUUUUUGCCAAGAUGUAUCAAAUCCUUUGAUCUUGCUUUUGCAUCAUCACCUUUCUUUAAUGAUAUUUACAGUUUAGCAAAAAAAAAA
RNA transcript from Raphanus sativus (radish), 2996 nucleotides. RefSeq lists it as uncharacterized. The record is from RefSeq and is a predicted model, not a curated record. The transcript has 3 exons. Lineage: Eukaryota; Viridiplantae; Streptophyta; Magnoliopsida; Brassicales; Brassicaceae.